This 1708-nucleotide long non-coding RNA is filed under the name Marmota monax (woodchuck). The record is from RNAcentral. Lineage: Eukaryota; Metazoa; Chordata; Mammalia; Rodentia; Sciuridae.
AGAAUGAGGGGCAUUCUUAACCAAUAAGCCACAUUCCCAGCCUCAAGAUUUAAAUAUUUUAGUUAGAGACAGGGUCCUGCAGAGUUGCUUAGAACUUUUAUGCUUUUAUGUAUCCUUAAAAAUAAAUUAAAAUUAAAAAUGAAAAUUACAAAAAGAUAACUAGGGUCUAUAUUAGGACAACAGUGGUGAAGGAUGAGGGAGAACUGAAUUUAAAAGGCAUUUCUGAAGUAAAAUCUGAAGACUUAGGGACUCCAGGAGAAAUGAGAGAAUCAAGAACAAUUCCCAGACUUCAGAACUGGAGUAUGGAUGCCUUAAUACAUUUAGAGCAGAAAACAGACUUGGUCUUGAGAGGAAAGAAAAAAUGAUAUUUCAUUUUUUUAGCAUAUUUAUUUUGAGGUACCUUUUGGAUAUCCCACUGGCAUUGCCAAAUAGUUAUUAGUACCUCUAUAGCCUGGUGGAGUGAUCAGGGCUAUAAGCCUUCUUUAUAACUCCUGCUUGGAAGAAACAGUACCCAUCUUGUAGACUUAGUAUAAGAUCUAUGGUUUUGUGUUGGUUUGGUGAUGUAGAUAAUUGGGGGCUAGUGAGUUACUUUAGACUUUAUUUGGGAGAAUUGGAGACAGAGUGGGUGUCUGGGUAUGCUUCUACAAGUGGGGUUGGAUCCCAUAUGUUAUGAUAAAAUUGGAGGAGAAGCACAGACAGGGUGAUGUAUCUUCAAGGAAAGAUAUGUCACCCCAGCUGCUGGCAGUUCAGUGGAGAGGCAACCUCCAAUUAUAGCCUCAUCAAGGCCUGCCUCACUUUUCCAGGAGUCCCAUUAUCUAGAGAGUGGUCCAAUGACUAAUAAGUAUGAAGGCACUGGCUACUACAGCCUCACAUGAGACAACUCUGAUGGGCCAUUUUAGUGCCAGACCUUACCGCAGGUUUGACCAAGGCCACUGUCAGGCCUGCAUCUCAGCUCAACUUCUCCCUCUGCCCAAUUUCUAAUCCUUCUCUUUCCUCCCACUGGUAUGGAUCCAAAGGAACUCCCCAGUCAACAUCCUGCACAACAAAUUCCAGCCCAGACUCUGUGACGGGGUCUAAAUGUCUCACACCAAGCUCCUUCAACUUGGCCUAUUUGUAAUACUUGCUAUAAUCCCAAGCUAAGCUGAUGAGGUCUCUGCAUUCAGACUCUAACUGAACCACAGACACCUAUAUUUUCUCCAUGUACUGGGGAGUAGCUAUUAGCUCUUUUCUAUUUUAUCAGAUAGAGUAAGUAACAGGCUUCGAUUAAUCUAGCUGGACAAGUAACAAAAAGACUAUCAUGGGCUCAGCAAAUAACUCCAUCCAACCUGCCCCAAAGACCCACAUAGCAAAAGCUAUUAAGCCUUAUGUAUUUUAUUUUCUUUCUCCUACAACCCUGAAGUGUUUGCUGACAUCUGAAGUCUGGUAAUAAUCAUCGUCCUCUAGCCAUGUUUCUGAAUCUUCAGCCAAAUUCAUGGCUGUCCCAUUUUCCGAGUCAGAUGGUCUAAUCAACUAACCCAUUCUAAAUAGCCUUGCUCCUGGAUAUAAAAGAGGAAGAAAAAAUAAACCUCUAUAAGCUUCAGGGUCACAAAACUGAUGGAAAAUAUUUCUAAUGGAAAUGCUGGAUGGUCACAGAACAGAGGCCUUAAUAAGAGUAAAUUUAUUUGGGACUCCUAUGCAAUAGCAUUAAUCAAAAAAACUAAGUUUGUUG